CGCUAGUAAUCGCGAAUCAGAAUGUCGCGGUGAAUACGUUCCCGGGUCUUGUACACACCGCCCGUCACACCAUGGGAGUCGGGAAUGCCCGAAGUCAGUGACCCAACCAUAUGGAGGGAGCUGCCGAAGGCAGGUCUGAUAACUGGGGUGAAGUCGUAACAAGGUAGC
This 168-nucleotide ribosomal RNA is filed under the name uncultured bacterium. RNAcentral's name for it is "partial 16S ribosomal RNA". It matches the Rfam family "Bacterial small subunit ribosomal RNA", at positions 1333 to 1500 of the family's 1533-position model. The record is from RNAcentral.